RNAcentral lists this ribosomal RNA (254 nucleotides) under uncultured bacterium. RNAcentral's name for it is "partial 16S ribosomal RNA". It matches the Rfam family "Bacterial small subunit ribosomal RNA", at positions 524 to 776 of the family's 1533-position model. The record is from RNAcentral.
UACGUAGGGACCAAGCGUUGUUCGGAUUUACUGGGCGUAAAGGGCGCGUAGGCGGCAAUUCAAGUCAGCUGUGAAAUCUCCGGGCUUAACUCGGAACGGUCAGCUGAUACUGCUUUGCUAGAGUGCAGAAGGGGCAAUCGGAAUUCUUGGUGUAGCGGUGAAAUGCGUAGAUAUCAAGAGGAACACCUGAGGUGAAGACGGGUUGCUGGGCUGACACUGACGCUGAGUGCGCGAAAGCCAGGGGAGCGAACGGG